UACGAAGGGGGCUAGCGUUGCUCGGAAUCACUGGGCGUAAAGCGCACGUAGGCGGUUCGUUAAGUCAGGGGUGAAAUCCUGGAGCUCAACUCCAGAACUGCCUUUGAUACUGGCGACCUUGAGUUCGGGAGAGGUGAGUGGAACUGCGAGUGUAGAGGUGAAAUUCGUAGAUAUUCGCAAGAACACCAGUGGCGAAGGCGGCUCACUGGCCCGAUACUGACGCUGAGGUGCGAAAGCGUGGGGAGCAAACAGG
This 253-nucleotide ribosomal RNA is filed under the name uncultured bacterium. RNAcentral describes it as "partial 16S ribosomal RNA". It matches the Rfam family "Bacterial small subunit ribosomal RNA", at positions 524 to 776 of the family's 1533-position model. The record is from RNAcentral.